UACGUAGGGUGCAAGCGUUAAUCGGAAUUACUGGGCGUAAAGCGUGCGCAGGCGGUUGUGCAAGACCGAUGUGAAAUCCCCGGGCUUAACCUGGGAAUGGCAUUGGUGACUGCACGGCUAGAGUGUGUCAGAGGGGGGUAGAAUUCCACGUGUAGCAGUGAAAUGCGUAGAGAUGUGGAGGAACACCGAUGGCGAAGGCAAUCCCCUGGGCCUGUACUGACGCUCAUGCACGAAAGCGUGGGGAGCAAACAGG
This 253-nucleotide ribosomal RNA is filed under the name uncultured bacterium. RNAcentral describes it as "partial 16S ribosomal RNA". It matches the Rfam family "Bacterial small subunit ribosomal RNA", at positions 524 to 776 of the family's 1533-position model. The record is from RNAcentral.